This 92-nucleotide transfer RNA is filed under the name Bacteroidota bacterium. Its description in RNAcentral is "tRNA-Ser". It matches the Rfam family "tRNA". From Rfam's summary of the family: Transfer RNA (tRNA) molecules are approximately 80 nucleotides in length. Their secondary structure includes four short double-helical elements and three loops (D, anti-codon, and T loops). Further hydrogen bonds mediate the characteristic L-shaped molecular structure. tRNAs have two regions of fundamental functional importance: the anti-codon, which is responsible for specific mRNA codon recognition, and the 3' end, to which the tRNAs corresponding amino acid is attached (by aminoacyl-tRNA synthetases). tRNAs cope with the degeneracy of the genetic code in two manners: having more than one tRNA (with a specific anti-codon) for a particular amino acid; and 'wobble' base-pairing, i.e. permitting non-standard base-pairing at the 3rd anti-codon position. The record is from RNAcentral. RNAcentral also lists the same sequence under 1 other name. Lineage: Bacteria; Pseudomonadati; Bacteroidota.
GGAGAGAUGGCCGAGUGGUCGAAGGCGCGCGCCUGGAAAGUGCGUAUACCUGUCAAAGGGUAUCGAGGGUUCGAAUCCCUCUCUCUCCGCCA